Molecule: ribosomal RNA, 881 nt
Filed under: Ramularia hydrangeae-macrophyllae
Lineage: Eukaryota; Fungi; Ascomycota; Dothideomycetes; Mycosphaerellales; Mycosphaerellaceae
Description: eukaryotic LSU rRNA
Rfam family: Eukaryotic large subunit ribosomal RNA
Source: RNAcentral
CUUAAGCAUAUCAAUAAGCGGAGGAAAAGAAACCAACAGGGAUUGCCCUAGUAACGGCGAGUGAAGCGGCAACAGCUCAAAUUUGAAAUCUGGCGCAAGCCCGAGUUGUAAUUUGUAGAGGAUGCUUCUAGGUAGCGACCGGUCUAAGUUCCUUGGAACAGGACGUCAUAGAGGGUGAGAAUCCCGUAUGUGACCGGCCCGCACCUUCUACGUAGCUCCUUCGACGAGUCGAGUUGUUUGGGAAUGCAGCUCUAAAUGGGAGGUAAAUUUCUUCUAAAGCUAAAUACCGGCCAGAGACCGAUAGCGCACAAGUAGAGUGAUCGAAAGAUGAAAAGCACUUUGGAAAGAGAGUUAAAAAGCACGUGAAAUUGUUGAAAGGGAAGCGCUCACAACCAGACUUCUGGGCGGUGUUCCGCCGGUCUUCUGACCGGUCUACUCACCGUCCCGAGGCCAACAUCAUCUGGGACCGCUGGAUAAGACCUCAGGAAUGUAGCUCCCCCUCGGGGGAGUGUUAUAGCCUGUGGUGAUGCAGCGCGUCUCGGGUGAGGUCCGCGCUUCGGCAAGGAUGUUGGCGUAAUGGUUGUCAGCGGCCCGUCUUGAAACACGGACCAAGGAGUCUAACAUCUAUGCGAGUGUUCGGGUGUCAAACCCCUACGCGUAAUGAAAGUGAACGGAGGUGGGAAGCGUAAGCUGCACCAUCGACCGAUCCUGAUGUCCUCGGAUGGAUUUGAGUAAGAGCAUAGCUGUUGGGACCCGAAAGAUGGUGAACUAUGCCUGAAUAGGGUGAAGCCAGAGGAAACUCUGGUGGAGGCUCGCAGCGGUUCUGACGUGCAAAUCGAUCGUCAAAUUUGGGUAUAGGGGCGAAAGACUAAUCGAACCAU